UAAACAUUGACAGUUAUUAACACCCACUGUCCGCCUGGGAACUACGAGCGCCAGCUUAAAACCCAAAGGACUUGGCGGUGCUUUAGACCCACCUAGAGGAGCCUGUUCUAGAACCGAUAAUCCCCGUUAAACCUCACCCUUCCUUGCCAUUUCCGCCUAUAUACCGCCGUCGUCAGCUUACCCUAUGAAGGUCCUAUAGUAAGCACAAUCGGCAAUGCCCAAAACGUCAGGUCGAGGUGUAGCGAAUGGAGGGGGAAGAAAUGGGCUACAUUUACUAGUACAGUAAAUACGGAUGAUCACCCUGCAACGAGUAUCUGAAGGAGGAUUUAGCAGUAAGUAAAAAAUAGA
This 348-nucleotide ribosomal RNA is filed under the name Chaetodon ornatissimus (ornate butterflyfish). RNAcentral describes it as "partial 12S ribosomal RNA". It matches the Rfam family "Bacterial small subunit ribosomal RNA", at positions 803 to 1353 of the family's 1533-position model. Lineage: Eukaryota; Metazoa; Chordata; Actinopteri; Chaetodontiformes; Chaetodontidae. The record is from RNAcentral.